This 406-nucleotide ribosomal RNA is filed under the name Anoplocephala perfoliata. RNAcentral describes it as "bacterial SSU rRNA". It matches the Rfam family "Eukaryotic small subunit ribosomal RNA", at positions 1454 to 1831 of the family's 1831-position model. The record is from RNAcentral. Lineage: Eukaryota; Metazoa; Platyhelminthes; Cestoda; Cyclophyllidea; Anoplocephalidae.
UAACAGGUCUGUGAUGCCCUUAGAUGUCCGGGGCCGCACGCGCGCUACAAUGGCGGUGUCAACGAGUCAGACCUUCUGGCCUGAAAAGGUUGGGUAAACUGGUCAAUCACCGUCAUGACAGGGAUCGGGGCUUGGAAUUAUUCCCCGUGAACGAGGAAUUCCUAGUAAGUGCAAGUCAUAAGCUUGCGCUGAUUACGUCCCUGCCCUUUGUACACACCGCCCGUCGCUACUACCGAUUGAAUGGUUUAGUAAGGUCCUUGGAUUGGCGCCAUUUUGGUGGCCCCGAAAGGUGGCUACCUGACCGGUGCUGAGAAGACGACCAAACUUGAUCAUUUAGAGGAAGUAAAAGUCGUAACAAGGUUUCCGUAGGUGAACCUGCGGAAGGAUCAUUACACGUUCCAAUUAC